This 73-nucleotide transfer RNA is filed under the name Lachnospiraceae bacterium XBB2008. It matches the Rfam family "tRNA". From Rfam's summary of the family: Transfer RNA (tRNA) molecules are approximately 80 nucleotides in length. Lineage: Bacteria; Bacillati; Bacillota; Clostridia; Lachnospirales; Lachnospiraceae. The record is from Rfam by way of RNAcentral.
ACCGACAUGGCGCAACUGGGAGCGCAGGUCCCCUACAAGGACAAGGUUGUGAGUUCAAGUCUCUCUGUCGGUA